Molecule: transfer RNA, 24 nt
Filed under: Ptisana melanesica
Lineage: Eukaryota; Viridiplantae; Streptophyta; Polypodiopsida; Marattiales; Marattiaceae
Description: partial tRNA-Gly
Source: RNAcentral
GCGGGUAUAGUUUAGAGAUAAAAC